This 348-nucleotide unclassified non-coding RNA is filed under the name soil metagenome. RNAcentral describes it as "partial contains 5.8S ribosomal RNA, internal transcribed spacer 2, and large subunit ribosomal RNA". The stretch from base 1 to 120 matches the Rfam family "5.8S ribosomal RNA", at positions 35 to 154 of the family's 154-position model. The record is from RNAcentral.
GAUGAAGAACGUAGCGAAAUGCGAUAAGUAAUGUGAAUUGCAGAAUUCAGUGAAUCAUCGAAUCUUUGAACGCACAUUGCGCCCGCCAGUAUUCUGGCGGGCAUGCCUGUCUGAGCGUCAUUUCAACCCUCAUGCCCCUAGGGCGUGGUGUUGGGGAUCGGCCAAAGCCCGCGAGGGACGGCCGGCCCCUAAAUCUAGUGGCGGACCCGUCGUGGCCUCCUCUGCGAAGUAGUGAUAUUCCGCAUCGGAGAGCGAUGAGCCCCUGCCGUUAAACCCCCAACUUUCCAAGGUUGACCUCAGAUCAGGUAGGAAUACCCGCUGAACUUAAGCCUAUCAAUAAGCGGAGGA